RNAcentral lists this ribosomal RNA (429 nucleotides) under Gemmatimonadota bacterium. RNAcentral's name for it is "Gemmatimonadetes bacterium partial 16S ribosomal RNA". It matches the Rfam family "Bacterial small subunit ribosomal RNA", at positions 355 to 776 of the family's 1533-position model. The record is from RNAcentral. Lineage: Bacteria; Pseudomonadati; Gemmatimonadota.
UAGGGAAUCUUCGGCAAUGGACGAAAGUCUGACCGAGCAACGCCGCGUGAGUGAAGAAGGUUUUCGGAUCGUAAAACUCUGUUGUUAGAGAAGAACAAGGACGUUAGUAACUGAACGUCCCCUGACGGUAUCUAACCAGAAAGCCACGGCUAACUACGUGCCAGCAGCCGCGGUAAUACGUAGGUGGCAAGCGUUGCCCGGAUUUAUUGGGCGUAAAGCGAGCGCAGGCGGUUUCUUAAGUCUGAUGUGAAAGCCCCCGGCUCAACCGGGGAGGGUCAUUGGAAACUGGGAGACUUGAGUGCAGAAGAGGAGAGUGGAAUUCCGUGUGUAGCGGUGAAAUGCGUAGAUAUAUGGAAGAACACCAGUGGCGAAGGCGGCUCUCUGGUCUGUAACUGACGCUGAGGCUAGAAAGCGUGGGGAGCAAACAGG